This 301-nucleotide long non-coding RNA is filed under the name Mytilus galloprovincialis (Mediterranean mussel). Lineage: Eukaryota; Metazoa; Mollusca; Bivalvia; Mytilida; Mytilidae. The record is from RNAcentral.
UUUUCCCCAUUUCCCAAUUCUUUUAAAUAAAUCGUUAAAAGCUAUAAACGAUUAAUAAAAAUUGCAAAAUUUAACCUGUGUCGAACCUAUGUCCCGGGCGGAGUCUAUAGCAACAUGCACUAUUCUUUUUUUUUCGGCAGCAAUCAUCAACCUCUUUUUCCAAAUUUUAUAACACGAUUUGUUUUAAUUAUCAUGAACAUUUAAUUGAAACUUUAGCACAUGUAACGUCGGAAAUUAGCGUCUUUAGGAUUUUAGACGUUUUCAGACGUUUGGACAAAUUGGCUACCGUUUUGUAAUGUGU